AACGCUGGCGGCGUGCCUAAUACAUGCAAGUCGAACGGUCUUUCUAUGGAAGCUUGCUUCCACUGAGAAGAUAGUGGCGAACGGGUGAGUAACACGUGGGUAACCUGCCCAUAAGAGGGGGAUAACAUCCGGAAACGGGUGCUAAUACCGCAUAGUUUUCUUGAUCGCAUGAUUGAGAAAGGAAAGACGGCCUUUGUGCUGUCGCUUAUGGAUGGACCCGCGGCGUAUUAGUUAGUUGGUGAGGUAACGGCUCACCAAGACGAUGAUACGUAGCCGACCUGAGAGGGUGAUCGGCCACAUUGGGACUGAGACACGGCCCAAACUCCUACGGGAGGCAGCAGUAGGGAAUCUUCCGCAAUGGACGAAAGUCUGACGGAGCAACGCCGCGUGAGUGAAGAAGGUUUUCGGAUCGUAAAACUCUGUUGUCAGAGAAGAACAAGUUGGAGAGUAACUGCUCCAGCCUUGACGGUAUCUGACCAGAAAGCCACGGCUAACUACGUG
This 501-nucleotide ribosomal RNA is filed under the name uncultured bacterium. RNAcentral's name for it is "bacterial SSU rRNA". It matches the Rfam family "Bacterial small subunit ribosomal RNA", at positions 32 to 507 of the family's 1533-position model. The record is from RNAcentral.